GAUGAUGAUCCCUGAAGACACGAGAAGAGCAAGGAAGUAAGUAACUCCACUUUGACGGGAGAUUUUGAGUAAGGUCUUCAGGAUAAGCGGAGGGGGAGUAUGGUGCGGUGCUGGUGGAGAAUGUUUCGGGUUGACGUUUUCUUUCUCUAUCGUAUGUCUGUUUUGUCGAUAGAGUUUUGAUAUGAAGUUAUGUUAAAUAGAGUUUGAUGUUUAAGAUACUUAAUUUCCUUUGAAAAUCAAGCAAUACACUCACGGUUAUAUGUCUUCAUACAUAUAAUCGAUUCGCCUUUUGCUGCGAUACUCUGCAUAUUAUUCUUCAUUAUGAAAAAUGAGCUAUACCCGUUUUGUUUUUGUU
Salvia miltiorrhiza (redroot sage) is the source of this 355-nucleotide long non-coding RNA. RefSeq lists it as uncharacterized. The record is from RefSeq and is a predicted model, not a curated record. Lineage: Eukaryota; Viridiplantae; Streptophyta; Magnoliopsida; Lamiales; Lamiaceae. The transcript is spliced from 2 exons.